Molecule: transfer RNA, 73 nt
Filed under: Camelus bactrianus (Bactrian camel)
Lineage: Eukaryota; Metazoa; Chordata; Mammalia; Artiodactyla; Camelidae
Also listed under: 2 other names
Rfam family: tRNA
About the family: Transfer RNA (tRNA) molecules are approximately 80 nucleotides in length. Their secondary structure includes four short double-helical elements and three loops (D, anti-codon, and T loops). Further hydrogen bonds mediate the characteristic L-shaped molecular structure. tRNAs have two regions of fundamental functional importance: the anti-codon, which is responsible for specific mRNA codon recognition, and the 3' end, to which the tRNAs corresponding amino acid is attached (by aminoacyl-tRNA synthetases). tRNAs cope with the degeneracy of the genetic code in two manners: having more than one tRNA (with a specific anti-codon) for a particular amino acid; and 'wobble' base-pairing, i.e. permitting non-standard base-pairing at the 3rd anti-codon position.
Source: Rfam by way of RNAcentral
GAGGGUAUAGCUCAAGACGUAGAGCACGUGCUUAGCAUGCACAGGGUCCUGGGUUCAAUCCCUGGUACCUCCU